UUUUUUUUUUUGAAAUUUCUGCUUUGAAACCUACUAUAGUACUACCUCUGUCCCGUUAUUUGUAUGUAAAUUUAAGAAAAUUUCGUCUUAAAAUAAAUGUCUCAACUUUGAGACGAAGGAAGUACUAGCUUAGCUCAGUUGUUGAGUUAUUAAGGGGUGCAAUUUGCCAGUGUUGCUGUAGCAUCCAUUUCAAAGUAAAAUAGUGGAGACAGC
Molecule: long non-coding RNA, 213 nt
Filed under: Hordeum vulgare
Lineage: Eukaryota; Viridiplantae; Streptophyta; Magnoliopsida; Poales; Poaceae
Description: long non-coding RNA (HVUL_LNC016977)
Source: RNAcentral